This 459-nucleotide ribosomal RNA is filed under the name uncultured bacterium. RNAcentral describes it as "partial 16S ribosomal RNA". It matches the Rfam family "Bacterial small subunit ribosomal RNA", at positions 338 to 795 of the family's 1533-position model. The record is from RNAcentral.
CCUACGGGUGGCAGCAGUGAGGAAUAUUGGUCAAUGGGCGCGAGCCUGAACCAGCCAAGUCGCGUGAGGGAAGACGGUCCUAUGGAUUGUAAACCUCUUUUGUCGGGGAGCAAAAGACGCCACGCGUGGCGUUCCGAGAGUACCCGAAGAAAAAGCAUCGGCUAACUCCGUGCCAGCAGCCGCGGUAAUACGGAGGAUGCGAGCGUUAUCCGGAUUUAUUGGGUUUAAAGGGUGCGCAGGCGGAAGAUUAAGUCAGCGGUAAAAUUGAGAGGCUCAACCUCUUCGAGCCGUUGAAACUGGUUGUCUUGAGUGAGUGAGAAGUAUGCGGAAUGCGUGGUGUAGCGGUGAAAUGCAGAGAUAUCACGCAGAACUCCGAUUGCGAAGGCAGCAUACCGGCGCUCAACUGACGCUCAUGCACGAAAGUGUGGGUAUCGAACAGGAUUAGAUACCCUGGUAGUC